AGUGAACGCUGGCGGUAGGCCUAACACAUGCAAGUCGAACGGCAGCACAGUAAGAGCUUGCUCUUACGGGUGGCGAGUGGCGGACGGGUGAGGAAUACAUCGGAAUCUACUUUUUCGUGGGGGAUAACGUAGGGAAACUUACGCUAAUACCGCAUACGACCUACGGGUGAAAGCAGGGGAUCUUCGGACCUUGCGCGAUUGAAUGAGCCGAUGUCGGAUUAGCUAGUUGGCGGGGUAAAGGCCCACCAAGGCGACGAUCCGUAGCUGGUCUGAGAGGAUGAUCAGCCACACUGAAACUGAGACACGGUCCAGACUCCUACGGGAGGCAGCAGUGGGGAAUAUUGGACAAUGGGCGCAAGCCUGAUCCAGCCAUACCGCGUGGGUGAAGAAGGCCUUCGGGUUGUAAAGCCCUUUUGUUGGGAAAGAAAAGCAGCAGGUUAAUAACCCGCUGUUCUGACGGUACCCAAAGAAUAAGCACCGGCUAACUUCGU
Molecule: ribosomal RNA, 491 nt
Filed under: uncultured bacterium
Lineage: Bacteria
Description: partial 16S ribosomal RNA
Rfam family: Bacterial small subunit ribosomal RNA
Source: RNAcentral